This 506-nucleotide ribosomal RNA is filed under the name uncultured bacterium. RNAcentral's name for it is "partial 16S ribosomal RNA". It matches the Rfam family "Bacterial small subunit ribosomal RNA", at positions 28 to 523 of the family's 1533-position model. The record is from RNAcentral.
GAUGAACGCUAGCGAUAGGCUUGACACAUGCAAGUCGAGGGGCAGCAUGGUCUUAGCUUGCUAAGACUGAUGGCGACCGGCGCACGGGUGCGUAACGCGUAUGCAACUUGCCUCACAGAGGGGGAUAACCCGUCGAAAGACGGACUAAUACCGCGUACACUUGGAGGGAGGCAUCUCCCAUCAAGGAAAAGAAAUUCGCUGUGAGAUAGGCAUGCGUCCCAUUAGCUAGUUGGUGAGGUAACGGCUCACCAAGGCAACGAUGGGUAGGGGAACUGAGAGGUUGAACCCCCACACUGGUACUGAGACACGGACCAGACUCCUACGGGAGGCAGCAGUGAGGAAUAUUGGUCAAUGGGCGAGAGCCUGAACCAGCCAAGUCGCGUGAAGGAUGACUGUCUUAUGGAUUGUAAACUUCUUUUGUAGGGGAAUAAAGAACGGUACGUGUACCGUAGUGAAAGUACCCUACGAAUAAGCAUCGGCUAACUCCGUGCCAGCCGCCGCGGUAA